This 77-nucleotide non-coding RNA is filed under the name Terasakiispira papahanaumokuakeensis. Lineage: Bacteria; Pseudomonadati; Pseudomonadota; Gammaproteobacteria; Oceanospirillales. The record is from RNAcentral.
GUUCGAAAUCGCGCCGAUUUGAACCCGGAUUGCGGGCGCGUUAAAAAUUCCCGCUAAAAGGGUGUGUCCAGCGUUGA